RNAcentral lists this long non-coding RNA (630 nucleotides) under Monodelphis domestica (gray short-tailed opossum). RNAcentral's name for it is "lncRNA (ENSMODG00000031191.2)". The record is from RNAcentral. Lineage: Eukaryota; Metazoa; Chordata; Mammalia; Didelphimorphia; Didelphidae.
AUGGAAGGCAGGGGGCUGAGGGUGGGGACGAGACUGACAGGGAAACUCGGAGGGGUGUGCCACAGGCCUCUCGUGCCCAGCCUUUUCAUCAGCGCCUCCGACUGGCACCCUCAUCCACAUGGCAGAGGAAGGGACAGCAACGUACACACUAAGAAUCCCAAACAGUCUCUCCUUUUCUCUGUCUCUCUCCCUUUCUCUCUCUUCUUCUCUGUCUCUACUUUUCCCUGGCUUUCUCCCUUUCUCUCUCUUUCUUCUUCUCUCUCUCUCCUUUUCUCUGUCUCUCUCCCUUUGUUUCUUUCUUCUCUAUUUCUCCUUUUCUCUCUGUCUCUCUCCCUUUCUCUCUUCUUCUCUUUCUCUAUUUCUCCUUUUCUCUCUGUCUCUCUCCCUUUCUCUCUUCUUCUCUCUCUCUCCUUUUCUCUCUGUCUCGCUCCCUUUGUUUCUCUUUCUUCUUCUCUGUCUCUUUUCUAUUCUCUCUGUCUUUGUCUCUGUUUCUGUCUCUCUUUUAACUCUUGGAAUUGAUAAGGUGUAUCUGUUUCAAGGCAAAAGGAUGUCAGAGGCCAAAUUUGAACCCAGGCCCUCCCAUCUCUAGACCGAGGUUCUCUAUCCACUGAGCCACUUAGCCUUCUCUUC